GCAGUAGGGAAUAUUGGGCAAUGGACGAGAGUCUGACCCAGCCAUGCCGCGUGCAGGAAGAAGGCUUUCUGAGUCGUAAACUGCUUUUGACAGGGAAGAAUAAGGACUACGUGUAGUCUGAUGACGGUACCUGCAGAAUAAGCACCGGCUAACUCCGUGCCAGCAGCCGCGGUAAUACGGAGGGUGCGAGCGUUGUCCGGAUUUAUUGGGUUUAAAGGGUGCGUAGGCGGCCGUUUAAGUCUGGGGUGAAAGCCCGCUGCUCAACAGCGGAACUGCCCUGGAUACUGGAUGGCUUGAGUACAGACGAGGUUGGCGGAAUGGACAGAGUAGCGGUGAAAUGCAUAGAUACUGUCCAGAACCCCGAUUGCGAAGGCAGCUGACUAGGCUGUUACUGACGCUGAGGCACGAAAGCGUGGGGAGCGAACAGGAUUAGA
Molecule: ribosomal RNA, 434 nt
Filed under: uncultured bacterium
Lineage: Bacteria
Description: bacterial SSU rRNA
Rfam family: Bacterial small subunit ribosomal RNA
Source: RNAcentral